This 451-nucleotide ribosomal RNA is filed under the name uncultured bacterium. Its description in RNAcentral is "bacterial SSU rRNA". It matches the Rfam family "Bacterial small subunit ribosomal RNA", at positions 328 to 793 of the family's 1533-position model. The record is from RNAcentral.
UCAGUCGACUCCUACGGGAGGCAGCAGUGGGAAUAUUGGACAAUGGGCGCAAGCCUGAUCCAGCCAUGCCGCGUGAGUGAUGAAGGCCCUAGGGUUGUAAAGCUCUUUUGUGCGGGAAGAUAAUGACGGUACCGCAAGAAUAAGCCCCCGGCUAACUUCGUGCCAGCAGCCGCGGUAAUACGAAGGGGGGCUAGCGUUGCUCGGAAUCACUGGGCGUAAAGGGUGCGUAGGCGGGUCGUUUAAGUCAGGGGUGAAAUCCUGGAGCUCAACUCCAGAACUGCCUUUGAUACUGAAGAUCUUGAGUUCGGGAGAGGUGAGUGGAACUGCGAGUGUAGAGGUGAAAUUCGUAGAUAUUCGCAAGAACACCAGUGGCGAAGGCGGCUCACUGGCCCGAUACUGACGCUGAGGCACGAAAGCGUGGGGAGCAAACAGGAUUAGAUACCCCUGGUAG